GUGGGGAAUCUUCCACAAUGGACGAAAGUCUGAUGGAGCAACGCCGCGUGAGUGAAGAAGGGUUUCGGCUCGUAAAGCUCUGUUGUCGGGGACGAAUGUGCAGUAUUUGAAUAAAGUAGUGCAAUGACGGUACCUGACGAGGAAGCCACGGCUAACUACGUGCCAGCAGCCGCGGUAAUACGUAGGUGGCAAGCGUUGUCCGGAAUUAUUGGGCGUAAAGGGAGCGCAGGCGGGAAGGUAAGUCGGUCUUAAAAGUGCGGGGCUCAACCCCGUGAUGGGAUCGAAACUAUCUUUCUUGAGUGCAGGAGAGGAAAGUGGAAUUCCUAGUGUAGCGGUGAAAUGCGUAGAUAUUAGGAGGAACACCAGUGGCGAAGGCGGCUUACUGGACUGUAACUGACGCUGAGGCGCGAAAGUGUGGGGAGCAAACAGGAUUAGAUACCCUGGUAGUCC
Molecule: ribosomal RNA, 450 nt
Filed under: uncultured bacterium
Lineage: Bacteria
Description: partial 16S ribosomal RNA
Rfam family: Bacterial small subunit ribosomal RNA
Source: RNAcentral